This 360-nucleotide RNase P RNA is filed under the name Patescibacteria group bacterium. Its description in RNAcentral is "RNase P RNA component class A". It matches the Rfam family "Bacterial RNase P class A". From Rfam's summary of the family: Ribonuclease P (RNase P) is a ubiquitous endoribonuclease, found in archaea, bacteria and eukarya as well as chloroplasts and mitochondria. Its best characterised activity is the generation of mature 5'-ends of tRNAs by cleaving the 5'-leader elements of precursor-tRNAs. The record is from RNAcentral.
AAACUAGUUAAGGCAGCUGCUUCGAAGCGAUUCGGAGAGGAAAGUCCGAGCAGGUAACAGCGGCGAUAGUCGGGAAAUCCGACCGGGCGCGAGCCUCGAGAAAGCGCAACAGAAAGAUACCGCCAGCGGUCCGAUCGCGAGAUUGGAUGCGGGCAAGGGUGAAAUUGUGCGGUAAGAGCGCACACCGAUCCCGCGUGAGCGGGACGGCGGCAAGCCUUAUCGGCCUGCAAGGCGGGUUGGGCCGCGGCCGGCAACUCAGCUGGAGGCCGGCAACGGAUCCCGCCGCGUAGAUAGAUAGCUGUCGAUCCGUUUUUGUGAAAAGGCGGAUUACAGAACUCGGCUUAUUAAACUAGUUUUGAG